This 490-nucleotide ribosomal RNA is filed under the name uncultured bacterium. RNAcentral describes it as "partial 16S ribosomal RNA". It matches the Rfam family "Bacterial small subunit ribosomal RNA", at positions 30 to 507 of the family's 1533-position model. The record is from RNAcentral.
AUUGAACGCUGGCGGCAGGCCUAACACAUGCAAGUCGAACGGUAACAGGAAACAUCUUGCUGUUUCGCUGACGAGUGGCGGACGGGUGAGUAAUGUCUGGGAAACUGCCUGAUGGAGGGGGAUAACUACUGGAAACGGUAGCUAAUACCGCAUAACGUCGCAAGACCAAAGAGGGGGACCUUCGGGCCUCUUGCCAUCGGAUGUGCCCAGAUGGGAUUAGCUAGUAGGUGGGGUAACGGCUCACCUAGGCGACGAUCCCUAGCUGGUCUGAGAGGAUGACCAGCCACACUGGAACUGAGACACGGUCCAGACUCCUACGGGAGGCAGCAGUGGGGAAUAUUGCACAAUGGGCGCAAGCCUGAUGCAGCCAUGCCGCGUGUAUGAAGAAGGCCUUCGGGUUGUAAAGUACUUUCAGCGGGGAGGAAGGGAGUAAAGUUAAUACCUUUGCUCAUUGACGUUACCCGCAGAAGAAGCACCGGCUAACUCCGUG